AUUGAACGCUGGCGGCAGGCCUAACACAUGCAAGUCGAACGGUAGCACAGAGAGCUUGCUCUCGGGUGACGAGUGGCGGAUGGGUGAGUAAUGUCUGGGAAACUGCCCGAUGGAGGGGGAUAACUACUGGAAACGGUAGCUAAUACCGCAUAACGUCGCAAGACCAAAGUGGGGGACCUUCGGGCCUCACACCAUCGGAUGUGCCCAGAUGGGAUUAGCUAGUAGGUGGGGUAAUGGCUCACCUAGGCGACGAUCCCUAGCUGGUCUGAGAGGAUGACCAGCCACACUGGAACUGAGACACGGUCCAGACUCCUACGGGAGGCAGCAGUGGGGAAUAUUGCACAAUGGGCGCAAGCCUGAUGCAGCCAUGCCGCGUGUAUGAAGAAGGCCUUCGGGUUGUAAAGUACUUUCAGCGGGGAGGAAGGCGGUGAAGUUAAUAGCUUCACCGAUUGACGUUACCCGCAGAAGAAGCACCGGCUAACUCCGUGCCAGCAGCCGCGGUAA
This 504-nucleotide ribosomal RNA is filed under the name uncultured bacterium. RNAcentral describes it as "partial 16S ribosomal RNA". It matches the Rfam family "Bacterial small subunit ribosomal RNA", at positions 30 to 523 of the family's 1533-position model. The record is from RNAcentral.